RNAcentral lists this ribosomal RNA (278 nucleotides) under uncultured Phaeobacter sp. RNAcentral's name for it is "partial 16S ribosomal RNA". It matches the Rfam family "Bacterial small subunit ribosomal RNA", at positions 29 to 334 of the family's 1533-position model. The record is from RNAcentral. Lineage: Bacteria; Pseudomonadati; Pseudomonadota; Alphaproteobacteria; Rhodobacterales; Roseobacteraceae.
AACGAACGCUGGCGGCAGGCCUAACACAUGCAAGUCGAGCGCUCUCUUCGGAGGGAGCGGCGGACGGGUUAGUAACGCGUGGGAACGUGCCCUUCUCUAAGGAAUAGCCACUGGAAACGGUGAGUAAUACCUUAUACGCCCUUCGGGGGAAAGAUUUAUCGGAGAAGGAUCGGCCCGCGUUAGAUUAGAUAGUUGGUGGGGUAACGGCCUACCAAGUCUACGAUCUAUAGCUGGUUUUAGAGGAUGAUCAGCAACACUGGGACUGAGACACGGCCCAG